GGGCUGUUGGGGACGGGAUGGUAGAGGUGGGCCUGAUGCAAAAGCUGCCGGCAGAUGUCGUAUUGGGGAACGACCUGGGCCUAAUGACUUCCGCUUUUAUACCUCAAGCUCCACUCCAAGAGGCCCAACCAGUAACCACAAGGCAACAGGCUCGCACCACGGCUCCAUCUGCGCACUCUGAGGCUCAGGUAAGAGACAUUGACACUCCUACGACACGUGUUACCUGGGAUACCCCAAAUGAAUUUGAGGCAGAGGUUAAGAUAGACCCUACAUUAAAAGUGUACAAGGAUAGGGUCAUCUCCGACCAGGCCGGAUUAGAGGGGGAACAGUAUACCUGGGAAAAGGGGUUAUUGUACCGUAUUGCUGAAAUGGUAGUGGGAGGGUCUGUAAAUGUGACUACUAGACAGCUAGUAGUACCCCAGACAUAUCAACAGGAACUUCUUCGAAUCGCACACGACAUCCCCUUGUCUGGGCAUCUGGGGAUGACUCGCACCCAAUACUGCCUAACCCAUGCCUUUUUAUGGCCAGGUAUAUCCAAGGAUGUGCGGCAGUACUGCCAGACAUGCAACAUCUGUCAGCGAGUAGGCAAGAGGGGUGACCG
Molecule: non-coding RNA, 601 nt
Organism: Pelobates cultripes (western spadefoot toad)
Lineage: Eukaryota; Metazoa; Chordata; Amphibia; Anura; Pelobatidae
Source: the annotation of a GenBank genome assembly